CAGAGCAAUUAGCUGAUUCUGGAGAAAGGCAGUUCUAAUGAAACCACCAUUAUGUGCACCGCAAGUGGACUCAAAUGUGGUUCACUUUGUGGAAAUCCCUAAGCGAAGGUACAUAAACGUCAUGCACUGGGGGUAGGCUCAGCAGAAGUUUGCCCUGAUUUUAUUGAGGCAAUUAAGUGACUACAGGCUCUUUUGUAGAUAAGGUAGGAAGCAGUCUGUGAGCAGAUGUUUUUGGUAUUAUUUCAAGUACUUGAUUUUCAUAGAGAGGAAAUUGAACGUGGUCUGAUCCACUAAAUAUAUGGCACCAGUGACAAGCAUGCUGGGCUGAUAAUCACUCCUACCACACAGCUGGGUGUAGUAAACUGUCUGCCCACAACCACAUUAAAUAGAAGGAGGAGGAAAGAAGCUGCACUGCAUACAGUAAUGCUUUUAGCAUUGUAAUGGUGUGGGAAGACAGGGAAUGGGGAAGUCAUGGUAUUUAUUUCCACCUGGUAUAAAAGUUUAGGCUAGGCUAGCACCUUCAACUCAUAAUUCCUAUGCAUUGGUUCACAUACGUGUAUGUAUAUGAAAACGAGCAACGAUGGUGCUACGAACUACUUCCACGUUAGAAUGUUAGCAUAUUAGCACAUCUCUUUUAACGUAGGUAUUUGUAAGUGUUGACAUACUUUAAGCCACAUCUGUCAUUGCUAAUGUGUACUAGCGCGUGACUAAUGUGAGAAAGCAGAAGAGAAAGCAAAGGCAAACAAGCUAACCCAAUACAAAGGAAAAGUGGUUAAGGAUACUGGGAUUGACUAAUAAGGACUGAAAACCGGAGCAUUUAAAGAGGAAAAACGCAAUAGCGUCUGCUCACAAAUACUGUAUUUGUGGUCAGUCAGUACACUUUUGCAGGCAUAAAACCAGUAGAAACUUUGUCCUCCUCUGAACUGGUUGCACAGGCAGCAGUGUUUAGAAACAGCUUGUACCUGUGCUGGCUGGGUUUCGGGUGAUGCAUCUCUGAAAACUGUACUCUCCAGGUCACGCUAUUCAGUGUGUGGCAAGAAGUAACCAGGGGGAGAGGAAAACUCGUGCUCGGCUUUCUGGGAACUGUUUGCUCUGUUCCUCCUAACCUUCGUCUUGUUUUGAGUUUAACCAAAGCUGGUUAAGAAACGUGAGGAACAUUUUCCAUUUAAUUUGAUGUGGUGCAGCUGCCUCCUGGAGGAGAGUUUGACAACAUUCCCUGGGUCUUGUGGUCCUCAGAGGUUUUCUGUAGGAGUUGCAGGCUGUGCUAGCACUGCUUAUACAGUGAGCUUUGUUACAGGCUGUGUGCUUGUCUGUGUGCUGGCUUGCUGCAGGGAGUUUGUCCUGAUCAUCCAGAAAGAUCACUUGGCAGUAGAGCGCAGAAGCUGAGCCCCAUGAACAAAGCAGCUGAUAUCAGGAGGAAACUGGAGGUGUAGAAGACAUAGUGGAAAUCAUUGGUUAUGUCCACCAGGAGACCUGAAAUAGAAACCACAGCUUAGUCAAAGAGGAGAUGCAUAUUAAAGACAACUGUAUGGCAUUCGCAGAAACAUUAGACCUAAAUAAUUCAGCCAACUGCCAUAUACAAAAGAUAAGCAUUCACAGAUGAGUUAAGUUCUCUUUUCCAGAUUCUAGAGCUUGUUUGCACUCAUCGCUCAGGUGGUGUUUCUUUUUCUAUAUAAAGUAUUUUUCAGUAAACAGAGAAAUCAGCAAAGAAAGGAAACUGUAACUUUUUCCCAACCUGCUGAUUCACUUUGUUUACUUAGCAGAGGACCCCUGUGCCACUUCCUGGAUUUUGGAAUGAGUGACUCUGUUACAUUCCAGGUCAGAAAACAGAACAAAUAAAGAAAGAACUCUCACAAAAAUGACGUGUUGGAGUCUCUAAGCUGAAGACUUGUCUCUAAAAGUAUGUAACUGGGGAGGAGAAAAAAAUCACAGCGCAGCAGGCAUUAUAACAAACAUUAAGUAUCUCAAUGUAAAACAUUUAGACGGGUGAUAUAUCAAGUGAGUAAUUUAACAUUAAUGCUGGAUACUGAAAGGUAAUAUUCAGGUAAACAUAUGAUGACUCUUUUUGAGACUGCUUAAUUAUAUGGAAAUAUGGGAGUAAUUUUUUUAAUAGAUUUUAGGUUGCUAGAGAUUGAGCUUCCCUUACUGUACUUUGUUUUUGGCUAUCUGCCUUUUCCAUCAGAGAUGUCCAAGAUCUGUUUUGCACUUUGAGAAAAGUGACUGACACACUUUGCCUGGGAAUACCAUUAAAUAUAGUGUAUAUUAUUCCAUUCUUAGAUAUUUUCCUGCUGGAUGGAACACAAUUCAUUGUUUGGAGAAGAGAACUAAAAUCUGAAUAGAGGAUUCAUGCUCAGGUUCACAUUUGUUUGUCAGUCUUUUGAAUGAGCUGCUGCAGAGCAGGAGCAGGUGUGUCUUGGACAGGUCAAUUAGUGGUGGUUGGAGUGAACUGUGAAACCACUGAAUAAUUUAUUGGAUUGGGGGCUUAACUAGUUCCCUUCCUUGUCUCCAGAGAAAAAUGAAUACACUCCAGAACACAGAAAGUGAGUAGAGGAGCCUUUUACUAUAAGCUUCUUCAAUUAUAUGGAGCUGGUAACACUUCUGAUCAGAGUAAACUUCUGAUCAAUGUGUUGAAUGGGAUGUUUGCAAUUUCUUGAGGCUUCAUAGAUAAAUCAAUGCAGACUAGCAAAGCAGUGAAAGAAUUCUAAAACAGCAAGAUCAUACCACUGUAAUUCCUCUCUGUGUCCUGCCACUCAGGGAAAAAGUUCUCAGCAUUCUCAUGCCUAUUGAAGCUGCCAGCCAAAUGGGAAACUUUUUCACUGUCUGCAGUUGCUUCAGUGACACUUGGGCCACUACAGAAAUGACCCUUGUUCAGCAGUGAGAUGGGGCUGAUCUUUCCUUUCUGACUCUCCCUUUUAUAUUGCUCCCUUUGCAUAACUCAGCUGCCUGUGUGGACUUAGAAACUCCCUCAUUCCUCCUCUUUAUGCUCCCAAACACUUGUCACCAGUGUCUAAAAAAGCUGUUUUUGCUCCAGCCUGCUUUAAUAGCUUUUCUCACCUGUGAGAGGGGGUCCAAUGAGGAGAGUGAUACUCUCCAGGAUUGUGAAGAGCCCUAGAGCACUUGAGAACCUGUCCAUCUCCACCACAUCCAUCAGCACCUGGAAGGUGAGUGCCCCAAUGCCACUCAUGGCUAUGCUGAGGAUGACGCAGUAGACGAUGAGCACGUUGAACUCAGCUGAAAUGAUGCAAAUGAAAUUGCUCAGCCCGCAGAGGAGCACAGCCAGGCUGAACAGGUAGAUGCGUCUUCCUGUGAAGAUUCUGUGUCCCGAAAGCAGCCCUGUCAAAGGGCGUAUGAAGAUGUUGAUGAACCCAAUAAUGGAGAUGAGGAGGGCUGCCUUGCGUUCCUCCACCCCAUUCUGGAUGGCAUAAGGUACUAGGUAGACGUGGGGUAACACAAACCCCAUCAUCAUCCAGGUCACUCCGAUAGUGUAAAUCUGGUAACCCUUGUUUUGACAGAAGAUAUCAAAAGCCAGGUACUUCUGCAGCACCUGGAAGCAUGCAGUCUUUCUGUUUUGCUGCUGGUACUUUAGGUGGGGAGAAGAUGCUCCAUUGGACAGCUGUGCCUCUUCUGCUCCUCUCCCUGAAUCCUCUCCAGGCCUGGGUAACUGUACAAGUGAUCCUGAAGCAAGUUGCACUGGUCUCAUAAUGGCUCCGCAGACACAACAGUUCAAUAGUAUUCCUCCAAAGAUAAGGAAAGUGUUUCUCCAGCCCAUCUCGUCCAGCAUGUAUUGAGAAAGCAGCGGCCACAGUGUGAAACCGAGAGAGACGCCGGUGGAUGCCAUGGCGUUAGCCAAUGUUUGCCACCGCACAAAGUAGUGGCCCAGCGCAGUCAGUCCAGCCUGGAAGCUGAAACAUGAUCCCAGACCUAAAGGUAAGAAGGAAAAACAACAGCACGUGAUCCCUCUGCGGUGUCCUGCAGGGUAAAAAGAGCCCGGCCCCGUGGGGUACUCACAGAUGACUUCAAUCUACCACUAGGCAUAUCCUCGCCUGCCGGGCUGCACAACCUCCGGUGAUUAAUACUCAGCAACCCCACACUAGAGAUGAAGAAGGGUAUUGUGCAUAAAUUUAACUCCUUGUGUUCUCAGGAAUACUAAAUACACUGUCUAAGGUGAUGUUUGUCAUGGCUGCACUGCCAUGUUUACGAUCGUUAUGGAAUUGUUCAUUAGAAAAACUAUAGUUUUACUGCAUGCAGCAGGCAGUGCUGCCUUCCUGAUGCUUUCUUCAGGGCCCAGGGAGUUAAUUCUUGUUUUUCUCUGUGCAGCAAACACAGCUUAGCUUACAAGAGCCAAAAGACUUGGUCCCAAAGUGACCCGGCUACAGAAUUUCAUUUCUCUUUGUUAGAAGAAAAUAUGGGUUGAGAAACAGUUACAUAGGAGAAAUAUUUGGAAAGGAAAAGUUCCCAUCUGUGACUUCUGUUCAAAACCAACACGUUCUUUUGUUAGAGAAAGAUGACUCCAUAUUUCCCCAGAUAGGGAGUGGUGAAACCCAAGCCCAAGGGACUUGUGAAGGAUGUUGUCCCAACACAUUGUGUUUCACGGAAAAACCUCCCCUCUUCAAAGACAAAAGGCUGUGAAGCUCCUAAAGAGAACAGACAUGUUUUGGCUCUCCACUUCACCCCUUAGAGACCUGCAACCUUUUCCAGAGAGAAGCACGUUCCAGUGAGCUCGGCUGGGCGAGGUGUGUUAAAGGGGUGUGAAGGGCAAGUCUAUCCAGCAUGCAAUUCCUGCUGAGCUGUGGGGCUUUUGAUUUAUCCUAUUUCACAGCUGAGUGAAAAACGUGAGCACUUAGUCUGGACUCUCACCACUUCCCGGCUCUCAAAUAAAGGGCAGCAGCUGGGUUUUCCUGCUGUUCCUUGGUACUUACCAGUGAUGAGGCCAGCUGUUAAGUAAAGCUGGCCGAGGGACUUGCAGAAGGAGCUGGACACCAUGCCCACGCUGCUGAGCAGGCCUCCCAACAUCACGGCAAACCUGUAGCCAAAUCGCUUCACCAGGAUGCUGCAGAGGGGUCCUAGGAGCAGUCAGAGAAGCAAAAGGGAGGCAGUUAGAGAGGCAGGAAUUAUUUCAUAGCUGCUAGACUGCUGCAGUUAUCGAACAGUUUAUUCUACAGAUUAUCCCAGCUGCAUAAUGCAGUGGGGGAGCCAGAAACAGAAAAUACAUUCCCUGGUCCUCCAAAGUGCUUGGUCAGCUUGGUACAUGAAGGGAAUGCUCCUCUGCUUGGAUUUUGGUCAUGAAGUAGGAUUCCUUAAGCUUCCCUGUGAUGGAUUUUAGGUAAAACUCUCAGAAAUGGAAUGGAAAAAGGACCUUCAAGUGUAAUUCUGUUCUCAUAUGAUAUCCGUUCUGGGAAUGAUUUGAAAAAGGAGAGGACUUGGAUUUUUGUGCCCCUGAGUAGGAGAUGCAGAGUGGGUGUUGUUUUCUGCUUGCAUGUUUCCACUCUCAUUUUGCUGUGUUUUUCAAAUAUUCUGCCACAGAAUCUUGUCAAUUGCCGUUGGCGUCCUGCUACAUAGGUGAAAUUCCCUGCAACAGAAGGCACGUUGACUCUGAAAAUGAUCCAGAAUGGGAGAAAGAGGAUUGUCCUUGAGGAAGAUCAUCUGAAAACAGCUGGAAGCAUGUUCAUGUCUGCAUCGGAAUCAGUCUAAGCUUCAGGCUGUGGCAUCCAAGCUCCAGCUUGUGGAGUCUUGCAGCUGUCCUGCAAGUCAUCUCCCCAUGAAAAUAAUAAGAUGUUUUUGCCAGUGCAGCUCUUUGCACGUGCCUGUCCUGGCAUACCUGGCCGGGGUGGGUAGGCAUGACUGUGUCCACUUCCAAGAGGACGAAGCCUAGGAGCAGAACAUGCACCAACAACGCAGAGGCAAGGGCAAGACCUGGGUGCUCCUGGUGGGCUUGGGUCUGCCCUUCUGGAGCAGAAAUCUGGGUCUUACUGUGUGCGUACAUUGCCGGCAGGCUUUUCUAAGUAGGACUUAGGUUAUUUCAUCAGAGAAAGCAAUGAACAAAUAGGCACGGAGAUACGUGCUUAAGGUCAGUUAAUUCUGUAAUUUUCAAAGGCUGUUGGUGAGUUCCAUGAUAUUGGGGUAAAUCACCAGUUUGAUAAUGUCAUGGGUUUAGUGUGCUUCAUUUUGGGGUAGAAGGAGAUUAGUUCAGGCCUGUCAAUGGAAAACAUGGUUCUCCCUUAGAGGAGAAACUGAAGGGAGAGUUGCUCCUUUUGUGUUCCCAUGAGGAUCCUCAUGCUUUUCCAUUUUUUUUUUUUUUUUUUUUCCCCUCUUCAUAACCCAUCAGGUUAUGUAAGCAAAUUCAGAAUGACUGCAAGUUUCAGAGUUAGGAAUCAAUCUGUGGGGAAAAUAACCUGUGGCAUAUUUGUGACUUAAGACAACACCUGGUUGGAAAUAAAAUCCACAUAGUCAAGCAAGCAGAGGAACAUUGUUAAAAUCAGGACUGCAGCUGUCUGUAUUUUGAUCUGCUUGGGAGAUUUUCACCUUGGACUUCAACUGGCCUUUGAAGAAGUAUUCACCAGGCUCAGCAAACCAGUGACUGCAUUAUUUUUCCUCUCACUGAGGAGAUUAAGGAUGGUACUGCUGUUUAAUCAACCUGAGUAGCCAGAAAUCAUAAAUAAAACAUGCCAAAAUCAUGAGAUUGGCUCAAAAAAUCCUAACUAUUUUUCAUUACUUAUUCCUGCCAACUUGCUUUCUAGGUUUCAAAUAUUAUUGCUCACUUGCUUGGGGCUUUUGUGCUUUUCUUUGCAAAAAUAUUUCCAAUAGAACUUCUGCAUUUGUACUAGUGCAAGCCCAGAGAUUUAUGUUUGCAUGAAUAUCUAGAAGCAGGAGCCUGUAAGGGCUUGCACUCCUGUAUUUCCCCCUUUGGAGUCAGCCAUAGGAUCCUGAAGUCUCAAAUGAUUCUUAUAACAAAAUAACUAGUAAUGGCUUUUACCUAGGAACAUGGUGAUGAGCUAUGUUUGCUUUAUUAAAUUAAGUGCUAUUCUUCACACUGUGCCCUUCCCUGUUUCCUUUCCCAUCUCUGCUGAGCUGAGGUUAGUUCUCCUGCGUGGACCUUCUCACUCUACUGACAAAUCUGAGAAUGGAGCACGCUGUCUGUUUCCUUUGCUGUCUACUAUUUUUGCAACAAAUAUUUAUUUUUCCCUUCAGGUCCUCUGAAUUAAGAGUAAAGGAGAAGAAAAGUGAGAAGGAUGUUUGAGAUCCUGGUGACAGAGCAGAAAACAGUUUUGGAAAGGGUUUAAAUGCCAAGUUGUGUUAGUCCCAAUUUAAGCUACUGUGGGAUGAGAACAAAUUCUCCUCUACUGUAACAGCCUGCAAUAGGAGACACAACUGGCAAGUGAAGUAACAAUGCUCUUGCAGUCCACUGGUUAUGCCGUUACAAAUUCUAUUAGUGAAUAUAAUCACCAUGAGGCUUUUCGUUCCUUGUGUCAUUUACAACUUUUGGAUCUGUUUGUUGGCUGUCUUUAUCUUACCUUUCACUGUGGUCCCAGCCUCUUACAAAACAAUUACUUCAUUAUAGGAGACGUGAUAUUUUCUUGCAGAUGCAGCCAGAGUUGUCUUUCCCUGGCUCAUUGGGACUGAGCUGCUUUUCAGACCAUUUCCCAGGGCCACCAGCUCCUGUUCAGCUCCUUCCCACUAACAGCAGCCGGGCCACAGGGGUUGGAAGCCCACCAGGCCUUUGAAUUCAAGGACCCAAGACACUGCUCUAUUUCUGCCAAACUUCAGUGAUGAUUCCUCCCAUAGCUGCUUCCCCUGAGGUCUCUUUCUGUCUGUGCCUUGCAAUUCUUGACCAGCUGCUUCUGCUAAGGUGCAAGCUCUUUCCCCAUGCCAUGCUGUCAAGUCUUACCCAGGAGACACUGAACCCAUCAUAGCUGUCGCACCAGCAUGACUGGGGGCUCUGCUUUUAGUUUUUUUUUUUUAUAUUUCCACCCCCAUACUGUAGUGUCACCUUUAAUCAGUAUUGGAAAGGAGCAGGAAUGAACUAAUGGAGCAGCUCAGAUACCCGGGUGGCUUAGAUACUUUGCUCCCCGCUGCUAGGUGGGGUUCAAGUAGUCUGUUUAUCACACAAGCAUGGGAGCUGCAUGUGGAGGGGUCAGCAGCAAGACAGGACUGCUUGUUGGGAGGUCCUCGAGCUGUUGGGUGUGUUUUUCUCCUCUAUGCAGAGCUAUCAGUCUGGAUGUGGCUCUGGGUGCCCUGUCCUGUGCAGCCCCUCAUUUUUUCUGGGGAAAGUUUUCUGGGGGUGAUUUGCUUAGUUUUUCAGGGCUUGAUUUGGUGCUCUGUCUGCAAUGUACCACCCUUCUCCGUCCCCCUUCACCUGGAGACCUGCCUGACCUGCAUCCUGCACUAAACCAGCUGCCCUCACCUUGAUACCUGCUGGGGCGUGUGCUCCACGCCACCGCCCAGGGGCUGCUUUAACCCUGUGCCAGCAGCCUGGAGGGGCUCAAACUGGGCAGCUUCUCAGCCCUGAAGAACGCGGUGGUCAUAUGGAAGGAGAGAGAAUGGAAGGAAGAGCCCAAGCUCACCCUCACCUUUGGCGAAAGGUCUUGGUUAUCGCUUAGAGUGGCAAAGGGGAGCGUUGUGUCUGCAGACCCUUGGCUUUGGACUCUGUGGGCAUGGAUCAAAGCAGCCUGUGUGCUGCCAACCAGCCAUACCUCCCGGUCCCUUCCACCUUCCUCCUCAGGGAAAUGCUGGAAGUGCCCUCAUAACGGCCCCUCGUCAGCACCAGCACCUCAGGAGACAGCGGCGGACAUUUGCCGCGGCCUUUACUCACCGCCUC
This is a non-coding RNA of Anas platyrhynchos (mallard), 8815 nucleotides long. Lineage: Eukaryota; Metazoa; Chordata; Aves; Anseriformes; Anatidae. The record is from RefSeq and is a predicted model, not a curated record.